UACGGAGGAUCCGAGCGUUAUCCGGAUUUAUUGGGUUUAAAGGGAGCGUAGGUGGAUUGUUAAGUCAGUUGUGAAAGUUUGCGGCUCAACCGUAAAAUUGCAGUUGAAACUGGCUGUCUUGAGUACAGUAGAGGUGGGCGGAAUUCGUGGUGUAGCGGUGAAAUGCUUAGAUAUCACGAAGAACUCCGAUUGCGAAGGCAGCUCACUGGACUGCAACUGACACUGAGGCUCGAAAGUGUGGGUAUCAAACAGG
Molecule: ribosomal RNA, 253 nt
Filed under: uncultured bacterium
Lineage: Bacteria
Description: partial 16S ribosomal RNA
Rfam family: Bacterial small subunit ribosomal RNA
Source: RNAcentral